RNAcentral lists this ribosomal RNA (256 nucleotides) under uncultured bacterium. Its description in RNAcentral is "partial 16S ribosomal RNA". It matches the Rfam family "Bacterial small subunit ribosomal RNA", at positions 524 to 776 of the family's 1533-position model. The record is from RNAcentral.
UACGUAGGUGGCAAGCGUUAUCCGGAAUUACUGGGCGUAAAGCGUGCGUAGGUGGUUUGUUAAGUCUGUUGUGAAAAGCCCCGGGCUCAACCUGGGAAUGGCAAUGGAUACUGGCAGGCUAGAGUGCGGUAGAGGGGUAGUGGAAUUCCCGGUGUAGCGGUGAAAUGCGUAGAGAUCGGGAGGAACACCAGUGGCGAAGGCGGCUACCUGGACCAGCCACUGACACUGAGGCACGAAAGCGUGGGGAGCAAACAGG